ACCGCCCGUCACACCAUGGGAGUUGAUUGCACCAGAAGUAGGUAGCCGUAACCGCAAGGAGGGCGCUUACCACGGUGUGGUCGAAAUGACUGGGGUG
This 97-nucleotide ribosomal RNA is filed under the name uncultured bacterium. RNAcentral describes it as "partial 16S ribosomal RNA". The record is from RNAcentral.